CCUACGGUAGACAGCAGUGGGGAAUAUUGCGCAAUGGGCGAAAGCCUGACGCAGCGACGCCGCGUGAGGGAUUAAGGUCUUCGGAUCGUAAACCUCUGUCAGCAGGGAAGAACGGUCACUGUGCUAAUCAGCAGUGAAUUGACGGUACCUGCACAGGCAGCACCGGCUAACUCCGUGCCAGCGGCCGCGGUAAUAUGGAGGGUGCGCGCGUUAAUCGGAAUUAUUGGGCGUAAAGCGCUCGUAGUCGGUAUGUCAAGUCAAGGGUGAAAUCCCCGCGCUCAACGUGGGAACUGCCUUUGAAACUGGCAAACUGGAGUGUGUGAGAGGAUAGUGGAAUUCCAGGUGUAGGAGUGAAAUCCGUAGAUAUCUGGAGGAACAUCAGUGGCGAAGGCGACUAUCUGGCACAUAACUGACGCUGAGGAGCGAAAGCGUGGGUAGCAAACAGGAUUAGAUACCCCUGUAGUC
Molecule: ribosomal RNA, 465 nt
Filed under: uncultured bacterium
Lineage: Bacteria
Description: partial 16S ribosomal RNA
Rfam family: Bacterial small subunit ribosomal RNA
Source: RNAcentral